UCGUCAGGUGGGAUAAUCCUUACCCGUUCCUCCUUUGGAGGGGAGAUAAAACAUGAUGAUUGGAGAUGCAUGAAACAUAAAAAAAGUAUUUAAAAAAGUAAAAAGAAAAAAAGAAAAAAAAUCAGUCUCAU
Small nucleolar RNA from Sapajus apella (tufted capuchin), 131 nucleotides. RefSeq annotates it as U8 small nucleolar RNA. Lineage: Eukaryota; Metazoa; Chordata; Mammalia; Primates; Cebidae. The transcript has a single exon. The record is from RefSeq and is a predicted model, not a curated record.